Molecule: non-coding RNA, 221 nt
Organism: Pelobates cultripes (western spadefoot toad)
Lineage: Eukaryota; Metazoa; Chordata; Amphibia; Anura; Pelobatidae
Source: the annotation of a GenBank genome assembly
CUUUAACUAUGCAGCAUUGCCGGAUUGAAUGAUAGCUUCAUUAUUCUUGCGUAUUAAAGAGAGAAAUACUCGGAUGCUAUCAGAGCAUUUAAGCUAGGUGUCGUGGAGGAGUGAGGUGCUGAAAAAUCAAUUAUGAGUCUCUUUUUAUUAUUACAUUUUUCUGUAGUUAUGCCUAGAGGAUUUGUUCUCCAGAAGGUGAAAGGUGGGGUUGUAAAUGGCCC